RNAcentral lists this ribosomal RNA (468 nucleotides) under uncultured bacterium. Its description in RNAcentral is "partial 16S ribosomal RNA". It matches the Rfam family "Bacterial small subunit ribosomal RNA", at positions 28 to 507 of the family's 1533-position model. The record is from RNAcentral.
GACGAACGCUGGCGGCGUGCUUAACACAUGCAAGUCGAACGGAAAGGCCCUGCUUUUGUGGGGUGCUCGAGUGGCGAACGGGUGAGUAACACGUGAGUAACCUGUCCUUGACUUUGGGAUAACUUCAGGAAACUGGGGCUCAUACCGGAUAGGAGCUCCUGCUGCUUGGUGGGGGUUGGAAAGUUUCGGCGGUUGGGGAUGGACUCGCGGCUUAUCAGCUUGUUGGUGGGGUAGUGGCUUACCAAGGCUUUGACGGGUAGCCGGCCUGAGAGGGUGACCGGACACAUUGGGACUGAGAUACGGCCCGGACUCCUACGGGAGGCAGCAGUGGGGAAUAUUGCACAAUGGGCGGAAGCCUGAUGCAGCAACGCCGCGUGCGGGAUGACGGCCCUCGGGUUGUAAACCGCUUUCGCCUGUGACGAAGCGUGAGUGACGGUAAUGGGUAAAGAAGCACCGGCUAACUACGUG